CUGCUGCCUUCCGUAGGAGUCUGGGCCGUAUCUCAGUCCCAAUGUGGCCGGCCAACCUCUCAGUCCGGCUACUGAUCGUCGCCUUGGUAGGCCGUUACCCUACCAACUAGCUAAUCAGACGCGAGUCCAUCUCUCAGCGAUAAAUCUUUGGUAUCCAUACCAUGCGAUACAGAUACGUUAUGCGGUAUUAGCAGUCGUUUCCAACUGUUGUCCCCCUCUGAAAGGCAGGUUACUCACGCGUUACU
RNAcentral lists this ribosomal RNA (245 nucleotides) under uncultured bacterium. RNAcentral's name for it is "partial 16S ribosomal RNA". The record is from RNAcentral.